GUACACGGCGACCCUGGCCGCUAAUAGCAACUACUUUUAGCCAAUGGCGUACAUACACGGCGAGCAGGCCGCCAUUACAAAUUCUUGCUUACGUUCGCCCAUUUGCCCUGCGCUACGCUGAGUUUUAAAGUGCUCUUCGACAAUACACAACUGAAACCUCAAAAGGCGGCUCCCGCCACCGGAGAAAAAAAAAAAGAGUGAUUCAUCAUCUAACUGGGUUUAUCGAAACAAUCGCAGAAGGAUUAUCUUUGGAAGAAGUCCUUCCAUUGAUGACAUCAACAGAUUCGUAGCUGCUGGAAAGAUACAUUGAGAUUGAAAUAAUCGGUGGGCGCGGCCAGCCACAAGUCUGAGUUGGCUUCAAAUCAACUCCAGCGCAAGAGAUGGAGCCCGUGCAGGAACCAUGAAUUGCCUUGACCUGACAUCUGCUUGCUGGGAUCCAGUUUUUGGUGUUAAAUCUCUUGGAAAUGAUGAAGUUUAUAUUUCCUACAGACUUCACACUACAUGAUAAUUGAAGAGACAAAUGUUGCAAUAGAUCUUUAUGUAUAAUAUUAAAUACUAACAGUACAUAGUGACACAUAAAAUUAUGUAUGUUGGACAUAGAGACAAUAUCAAGGUGUUGUAAAUAAUUGUCUUUAUUGUUUUAUAAACUUUUGCACAUUAAAAUACAUAUUUAUUAA
Long non-coding RNA from Pomacea canaliculata, 677 nucleotides. RefSeq lists it as uncharacterized. The record is from RefSeq and is a predicted model, not a curated record. Lineage: Eukaryota; Metazoa; Mollusca; Gastropoda; Architaenioglossa; Ampullariidae. The transcript is spliced from 4 exons.